ACCUCAGACCUCAUCUGGGGCCCCAGGAAGCUGCCUGCACCAUGGCCUGGACCCCUGUCCUGCUCGUGCUUCUCUCCCACUGCACAGGUUCCCUCUCCCAGGCUGUGCUGACUCAGCCGCCCUCCCUCUCUGCAUCUCUGGGAGCCACAGCCAGACUCACCUGCACCCUCAGAAGUGACAUCAGUGUUGGUGGAUACAGGAUAAACUGGUUCCAGCAGAUCCCAGGAAGUCGUACCCGGUAUCUGUUGAACUACUACUCAGACUCAGACAAGCACCAGGGCUCCGGGGUCCCCAGCCGCUUCUCUGGAUCCAAAGACACCUCGGCCAAUGCAGGGCUCCUGCUCAUCUCGGGGCUGCAGCCUGAGGAUGAGGCCGACUAUUACUGUGCGAUCAGGCACAGCAGUGGAGCCAGCAAACUAAUUGAAACCACGGGAGGGACCUGGGAGCCUUGGAGUUACAGCCAAGGCCCUGAGUGA
This is a non-coding RNA of Phyllostomus discolor (pale spear-nosed bat), 476 nucleotides long. NCBI's taxonomy places the organism in Eukaryota, Metazoa, Chordata, Mammalia, Chiroptera, Phyllostomidae. The record is from the annotation of a RefSeq genome assembly.